AUUGCUUCUUGGCCUUUUGGCUAAGAUCAAGUGUAGUAUCAGUUCUUAGCAGUUCCAUAUCUGAUACGUCAUCAAUGAGAGGAUUUCACAUUAAAUGGAUUCUGUGGUUGCCUUAUGUGGUCAGUUACUAAAUUUUAAGUUAAUCACUUCAUGAAAAUGAUUAUAUGAAGACAAAAUAUUUUACAUGGUCCUUA
Anser cygnoides (Swan goose) is the source of this 194-nucleotide small nuclear RNA. Its record names the gene U2. It matches the Rfam family "U2 spliceosomal RNA". From Rfam's summary of the family: U2 is a small nuclear RNA (snRNA) component of the spliceosome (involved in pre-mRNA splicing). NCBI's taxonomy places the organism in Eukaryota, Metazoa, Chordata, Aves, Anseriformes, Anatidae. The record is from Ensembl.